GUUGAACUGAAUGCUGGAGUAGUUCUCCCCGGCGCCCCCCUGUGGUUCACAAGAGAGAAGCGGGAGAACGUAACUGCGAGGAUCAAAACUAUGAGGAGAGCGAUGGCCGCUGCUGAAGCUGUUGCAAUCAAUACCAGAUUUUCUUUGAGGAGUGAGAGAAAAACAAUCAGUCCAUUAGAGCUGCAGACAGACAGACAGACAGCUCGCCCCCACCCGUUUGGUUUAGCGAUACAGUAUAACCCCUUUUUGCUGUUUGUUUAACGACAUUCUCCUGGAGUUUAGUUUCAUUAAAGCACCAGCUUUAGCAGACAGACAGUGCCCACACAAUGCUGUUUCGUCUGACACAAGGCUGUGUGGAGGCUGUGUGGUCCAGUGGUUAAAGAAAAGGGCUUGCAACCAGGAGGUCCCUGGUUUGAAUCCCACCUCUGCCACUGACUUAUUGUGUGACCCUGAGCAAGUCACUUAACCUCCUUGUGCUCCGUCUUUCCGGUGAGACGUAGUUGUAAGUGACUCUGCAGCUGAUACAUAGUUCACACACCCUAGUCUCUGUAAGUCGCCUUGGAUAAAGGUGUCUGCUAAAUAAACAAAUAAUAAUAACAAUGUCAUUCUGUCUGGGUUUCUGUGUUAGUUUACUAAUUUUUUUAUAGUUUUGUUUUAUUAAAGCUUCAGACAGACAGUGUCUUGCGAUCCUGUUCAGUUUGACACUACAGUAUCAUUCUGUCUGGGUGUCUGUUAGUUUAUUACAUUUUUUCACAGUUCAUUAUCAUUAGGCCACUCAUGUUCAGAUUGACCCUGGAAUUCAAGUUAUUGGUGUCUGUUGUAAAGAUAACAGGUAAAUGGGUAAAAUCUUGUUGAAUAAAUAAACUGUAAAUUGUUAACACAUUUCCUGCUUCUCUUUUGCAAAUGAUGCAUGGCUCAGUGUGUAAUAAAUCUCUCUUUAUAACUGUACUGACUCUUCUGAUGUGUUCGAAGUACUGCAGGAAGAGGGCAGCAGCCCGUCAAUAUUCGCCUGUCAGUCAUGACAGUGAAAUGGAGAGGUGGGAGAGUGGGUGUGCAGGCUUUCCUUCUCUCUGAGCGGCUGAGAGGCGUUUCUUGGGGGGGAUUGCUGGCCCUAUAAGAUAACAUUCUGCUGUUCCCUCAGGUCUGCCCUCUGAGACGUACUGAGCAUACGGAAGCUCUGGUCCAGGAUCGAGAACUACAGGGACGGAAAUCCCAAUGAAAAGAAAAGAAAAAGAAAAGAAAAAGAAUUCAUGGUAGCGGGGAAAACCUUGGGCAGCCCCGAUAAACAUUUGUAUAGCAGGUUGAGGGAGCCGUGAGUGUAGUACAGAGACCCGGGCCGGUUGGGGGAAGCUGCCGAGCGCAGCACCUUUUAUUUGUAGUUUUGUUUAUUGUGCUUUAUUUUCCCUGUUCCUUUCGCCUUUUGAUUAUUCUUGUGUUUGAGCACCUGUAUUCUGUACUGCUCCCGGUAUAGUUAUGGCUCUGUCUGUACCAUCGCUGGUAAGGCAGACCACAGACAACAGUGCCCUCUGCGGGCUGAAAAGAAAUUACCUACCCAUAAUAAAACUGGGCACCUGUGCAGUGUUCCCAAUUAC
Long non-coding RNA from Acipenser ruthenus (sterlet), 1592 nucleotides. RefSeq lists it as uncharacterized. The transcript has 2 exons. The record is from RefSeq and is a predicted model, not a curated record. NCBI's taxonomy places the organism in Eukaryota, Metazoa, Chordata, Actinopteri, Acipenseriformes, Acipenseridae.